UACGAAGGGGGCUAGCGUUGUUCGGAAUCACUGGGCGUAAAGGGUGCGUAGGCGGGUCUUUAAGUCAGGGGUGAAAUCCUGGAGCUCAACUCCAGAACUGCCCUUGAUACUGAAGAUCUUGAGUUCGGGAGAGGUGAGUGGAACUGCGAGUGUAGAGGUGAAAUUCGUAGAUAUUCGCAAGAACACCAGUGGCGAAGGCGGCUCACUGGCCCGAUACUGACGCUGAGGCACGAAAGCGUGGGGAGCAAACAGG
This 253-nucleotide ribosomal RNA is filed under the name uncultured bacterium. Its description in RNAcentral is "partial 16S ribosomal RNA". It matches the Rfam family "Bacterial small subunit ribosomal RNA", at positions 524 to 776 of the family's 1533-position model. The record is from RNAcentral.